Molecule: ribosomal RNA, 1620 nt
Filed under: human vaginal metagenome
Description: bacterial LSU rRNA
Rfam family: Bacterial large subunit ribosomal RNA
Source: RNAcentral
UGAAAGACUUGUAGGAAAAGAUAUUAGAAUUUCAAUAAGCUUCACGAGUACCACAAGGCACGAGAAACCUGGUGGGAACAUGGGAGGACCACCUCCCAAGGCUAAAUACUACUUGGUGACCGAUAGAGAACAGUACCGUGAGGGAAAGGUAAAAAGAACCCCGAAAGGGGAGUGAAAUAGAACCUGAAACCCUGCGUUUACAAGCAAAGAAAGCACGUGAAAAGUGCAAUCUUGUACUUUUUGUAGAACGGGCCAGCGAGUUACUUUUGUAAGCAAGGUUAAGAAGUUAAGCUUCGAAGCCGAAGAGAAAUCAAGUCUUAAUAGGGCGAAAUAGUUUACAGGAGUAGACCCGAAACCAGGUGACCUAUCCAUGAGCAGAGUGAAGUUAAAGUAAAAUUUAAUGGAGGCUCGAACCGGGUGUGGUUUAAAACACAUCGGAUGACUUGUGGAUAGGGGUGAAAAGCCAAUCGAACCUGGAGAUAGCUGGUUCUCCUCGAAAUAGCUUUAGGGCUAGCCUUUAGGAUGUUUAAUGGAGGUAGAGCUACUGACUGGUUGCGGGGUGUUUAUACAUUACCAAAACCUAUCAAACUCCGAAUGCCAAGAAAACAAACCUAAGGAGUCAGACAUAGUGGGAUAAGCUUCUAUGUCAAAAGGGAAAGAGCCCAGACCAUCAGCUAAGGUCCCCAAAUACCGAUUAAGUGGUAAAGGAUGUGAAGUUACCCAAACAACUAGGAUGUUGGCUUAGAAGCAGCCAUACAUUUAAAGAGUGCGUAAUAGCUCACUAGUCGAGUGACCUUGCGCCGAAGAUUUCCGGGGCUAAAUCGGAUACCGAAGCUGUGGACUCUGUAAGAGCGGUAGAGGAGCAUUGUGUAAUAGGCAGAAGCAGUAUCGAAAGGCGCUGUGGACGAAACACAAGAGAGAAUGCUGGCAUAAGUAGCGAGAAGGAGUGUGAGAAUCACUCCCGUCGAAAACCUAAGGGUUCCUGAGCAAGGCUCGUCCCCUCAGGGUAAGUCGGGACCUAAGGCGAGGCCGAAAGGCGUAGCCGAUGGACAACUAGUAAAAAUUCUAGUACUAUCAAAUAUCGUAUAAAUGAAGCGGGGACACAGAAGGAUAAGCUAAGCGUACCAGAUGGACGAGUACGCUCAAAUAAAAAGGCAUGCCAGGACUAAUAACCAGGCUAAGCCAAUUUAUGAUGAGGAUCGAAAACAAGUAGAGAAGUAGCCGAUUUCACACUGUCAAGAAAAGCCGCUAAAUAGAUAAAUGAUACCCGUACCGUAAACCGACACAGGUAGGAAAGGAGAGAAUCCUAAGACGCGCGGAAGAACCUUUGUUAAGGAACUCGGCAAAAUGACCCCGUAAGUUAGCGAGAAGGGGAGCCAGAGCGAUCUGGCCGCAGUGAAUAGGCCCAAGCGACUGUUUACCAAAAACACAAGUUUCUGCUAAGUCGAAAGACGACGUAUAGGAGCUGACACCUGCCCGGUGCUGGAAGGUUAAGGGGAAAUGUUAGCCUCAGGCGAAGCAUAGAACUUAAGCCCCAGUAAACGGCGGCCGUAACUAUAACGGUCCUAAGGUAGCGAAAUUCCUUGUCGGGUAAGUUCCGACCCGCACGAAAGGUGUAAC